Molecule: microRNA precursor, 85 nt
Filed under: Ricinus communis (castor bean)
Lineage: Eukaryota; Viridiplantae; Streptophyta; Magnoliopsida; Malpighiales; Euphorbiaceae
Description: miR164d stem-loop (rco-MIR164d)
Gene: rco-MIR164d
Source: miRBase by way of RNAcentral
CAUGCUGGAGAAGCAGGGCACAUGCUAGAUUUAUCAGAAUGAAAAACCUGAGAAUUUUGCAUGUGCCUUUGUUCUCCAGCUUGGA